This 253-nucleotide ribosomal RNA is filed under the name uncultured bacterium. RNAcentral's name for it is "partial 16S ribosomal RNA". It matches the Rfam family "Bacterial small subunit ribosomal RNA", at positions 524 to 776 of the family's 1533-position model. The record is from RNAcentral.
UACGAAGGGGGCUAGCGUUGUUCGGAAUUACUGGGCGUAAAGGGCGCGUAGGCGGUGCUGUAAGUCAGGCGUGAAAUCCCCGGGCUCAACCUGGGAAUUGCGUUUGAUACUGCGGCGCUGGAAUGCGGGAGAGGAUGGCGGAAUUCCCAGUGUAGAGGUGGAAUUCGUAGAUAUUGGGAAGAACACCGGUGGCGAAGGCGGCCAUCUGGCCCGUAAUUGACGCUGAGGCGCGAAAGCGUGGGGAGCAAACAGG